ACUCAAAUGAAUUGACGGGGACCCGCACAAGCGGUGGAUCAUGCGGUUUAAUUCGAUACUAAACGAGGAACCUUACCCAGGCUUGACAUCCUAAGAACUCCCUGGAAACAGGGAGGUGCCCGCAAGGGAGCUUAGAGACAGGCGUUGCAUGGUUGUCGUCAGCUCGUGCCUUGAGGUGUUCGGUUAAGUCCGUUAACGAGCGCAACCCAUGUCGUUAGUUACUAUGUCUAACGAGACUGCCCGAGUUAAUCGGGAGGAAGGUGUGGAUGACGUCAAAUCAGCAUGACCCUUAUGCCUGGGGCUACACGCAUGAUACAAUGGUCGGUACAAUGGGUCGCAAUCACGCGAGUGAGAGCCAAUCCCUUAAAGCCGAUCCCAGUCCGGAUUGGAGUCUGCAACUCGACUCCAUGAAGUUGGAAUCGCUAGUAAUCGUGAAUCAGCUAUGUCACGGUGAAUAUGUUCCCGGGUCUUGUACACACCGCCCGU
This 486-nucleotide ribosomal RNA is filed under the name uncultured bacterium. RNAcentral's name for it is "partial 16S ribosomal RNA". It matches the Rfam family "Bacterial small subunit ribosomal RNA", at positions 899 to 1397 of the family's 1533-position model. The record is from RNAcentral.